UACGGAGGGAGCUAGCGUUGUUCGGAAUUACUGGGCGUAAAGCGCACGUAGGCGGCUACUCAAGUCAGAGGUGAAAGCCCAGGGCUCAACCUUGGAACUGCCUUUGAAACUAGGUAGCUAGAAUUCUGGAGAGGUCAGUGGAAUUCCGAGUGUAGAGGUGAAAUUCGUAGAUAUUCGGAAGAACACCAGUGUCUAAGGCGACUGACUGGACAGAUAUUGACGCUGAGGUGCGAAAUCGUGGUGAGCAAACAGG
This 253-nucleotide ribosomal RNA is filed under the name uncultured bacterium. RNAcentral's name for it is "partial 16S ribosomal RNA". It matches the Rfam family "Bacterial small subunit ribosomal RNA", at positions 524 to 776 of the family's 1533-position model. The record is from RNAcentral.